CUAGCCAUCUUUCUGCUGGAUUACGGUAGGGAAUGUCUACUCCCAGCAAGGGACAUGCACAGCCACCACCGCCGCCUGUAUCUAGUAUUUCAGAAGAGUCCGACCGAGAUGGGGACAAAGAAUUCGCUAUGCAAGGUGUUCAACCGUUGGGCAAA
Long non-coding RNA from Clupea harengus (Atlantic herring), 155 nucleotides. RefSeq lists it as uncharacterized. Lineage: Eukaryota; Metazoa; Chordata; Actinopteri; Clupeiformes; Clupeidae. The record is from RefSeq and is a predicted model, not a curated record. The transcript is spliced from 3 exons.